GUAUGGUUUAUGGUACAGUGUCAGGCUGCGGUGUAGGUUACUGUGUCAGGGUAUGGUUUAUGGUACAGUGUCAGGCUACGGUGUUGGUUACUGUGUCAGGGUAGGGUUUAUGGUACAGUGUCAGGCUACGGUGUAGGUUACUGUGUC
Long non-coding RNA from Brienomyrus brachyistius, 147 nucleotides. RefSeq lists it as uncharacterized. NCBI's taxonomy places the organism in Eukaryota, Metazoa, Chordata, Actinopteri, Osteoglossiformes, Mormyridae. The record is from RefSeq and is a predicted model, not a curated record. The transcript is spliced from 3 exons.